Molecule: long non-coding RNA, 738 nt
Organism: Hydra vulgaris (swiftwater hydra)
Lineage: Eukaryota; Metazoa; Cnidaria; Hydrozoa; Anthoathecata; Hydridae
Source: RefSeq, a predicted model, not a curated record
UGCAACUAGUAAUUUAAAAAACUAUUAUAUUUAAUGUGUAUGCAUUUCUCAUUAUUUACAAUAUUGAUUUUUUGUUACAACUUCGUAAUUUUAAUAUCUACCUCUUGUGCUACACCUGUUCUUUCUACGUGUGCUACGCCUGUUACAUCUUCAGCUGUCACGUCAAUUCCAUCUGGACCACCUUCAAACAGUAAAUUUAUGAAUCUGGAAUGUCUCUGAUUGAUUAUUGAGUUCCUUUUAUUCCUAUUUAUAUAAUCUGUUAAAUACUUUUGUGUUUUGUUAUCUCUUCGAGUACUAUAAAAGGAAAAUCAGAUGUUCUAAGAUCACCUUAUUUUGUUUGGCAGUGUUUUGGAAUCAAGUUAUGGCAAUAUUUUGUGUAUAAAAUAUAACAAUUACAUUUAAAAAGUGCUUAUUACAUUUACAACAAUUACAUUUAAAAAGAGCUUAAAAGUGCAAAAACUUAAUUUUCUUAAGGGUUAGAUGAUGUUUCAUUCCCUCUCUGGCUCUCAAGAUACACCCUACAUCCAGGCACUAAAAUGAACUUGUAGCCCAUUAUUGCACCUAUCUUGUGAUACCAAGAUAUAGGUAUUUGGAUAAAAAUAUCAAGUUAAGUUUAUAGGUAGAUUAGUUACGUAAAUUAUUAUUUCAAACAUAAUAAGAAAAGUUUCAUUAUGAGAAAAAUAUAAACACAAAAAAGUGACUUUUUUGUGAUUUGUUUACAACUUUAAAAAUACUUUU